CUGGUUUCGUGUGUGACGUCACUUCCCUGCUCGCCAUUAGCCGACAGCUAACUGAUCUCAGCUCAGGCUGUCUCUGUGAUGAACAGAUCAAACUGGACACAAAAUAUCAUUCAUUCUAGCUGAGUGAGUUCAGCCAAGCAAAUGGCAGUCCAGCAGAUGGCAGCAGGAGUCUGAAGCUCCAGGGCCUCAGAUCACAG
Larimichthys crocea (large yellow croaker) is the source of this 197-nucleotide long non-coding RNA. RefSeq lists it as uncharacterized. NCBI's taxonomy places the organism in Eukaryota, Metazoa, Chordata, Actinopteri, Sciaenidae. The transcript is spliced from 3 exons. The record is from RefSeq and is a predicted model, not a curated record.